This 465-nucleotide ribosomal RNA is filed under the name Vreelandella stevensii. RNAcentral's name for it is "partial 16S ribosomal RNA". It matches the Rfam family "Bacterial small subunit ribosomal RNA", at positions 338 to 795 of the family's 1533-position model. Lineage: Bacteria; Pseudomonadati; Pseudomonadota; Gammaproteobacteria; Oceanospirillales; Halomonadaceae. The record is from RNAcentral.
CCUACGGGUGGCUGCAGUGGGGAAUAUUGAACAAUGGGGGCAACCCUGAUCCAGCCAUGCCGCGUGUGUGAAGAAGGCCCUCGGGUUGUAAAGCACUUUCAGUGAGGAAGAACGCCUGGUGGUUAAUACCCAUCAGGAAAGACAUCACUCACAGAAGAAGCACCGGCUAACUCCGUGCCAGCAGCCGCGGUAAUACGGAGGGUGCGAGCGUUAAUCGGAAUUACUGGGCGUAAAGCGCGCGUAGGUGGCUUGAUAAGCCGGUUGUGAAAGCCCCGGGCUCAACCUGGGAACGGCAUCCGGAACUGUCAAGCUAGAGUGCAGGAGAGGAAGGUAGAAUUCCCGGUGUAGCGGUGAAAUGCGUAGAGAUCGGGAGGAAUACCAGUGGCGAAGGCGGCCUUCUGGACUGACACUGACACUGAGGUGCGAAAGCGUGGGUAGCAAACAGGAUUAGAUACCCUGGUAGUC